AACGAACGCUGGCGGCAUGCCUAACACAUGCAAGUCGAACGAGACCUUCGGGUCUAGUGGCGCACGGGUGCGUAACGCGUGGGAACCUGCCCUUAGGUUCGGAAUAACUCCCCGUAAGGGGUGCUAAUACCGGAUAAUGUCUUCGGACCAAAGAUUUAUCGCCUUUGGAUGGGCCCGCGUUGGAUUAGCUAGUUGGUAGGGUAAAAGCCUACCAAGGCGACGAUGCAUAGCUGGUCUGAGAGGAUGAUCAGCCACACUGGGACUGAGACACGGCCCAGACUCCUACGGGAGGCAGCAGUGGGGAAUAUUGGACAAUGGGCGAAAGCCUGAUCCAGCCAUGCCGCGGGAGUGAUGAAGGCCUUAGGGUUGUAAAGCUCUUUUACCCGGGAUGAUAAUGACAGUACCGGGAGAAUAAGCUCCGGCUAACUCCGUG
This 433-nucleotide ribosomal RNA is filed under the name uncultured bacterium. RNAcentral's name for it is "partial 16S ribosomal RNA". It matches the Rfam family "Bacterial small subunit ribosomal RNA", at positions 29 to 507 of the family's 1533-position model. The record is from RNAcentral.